RNAcentral lists this ribosomal RNA (468 nucleotides) under uncultured bacterium. RNAcentral describes it as "partial 16S ribosomal RNA". It matches the Rfam family "Bacterial small subunit ribosomal RNA", at positions 28 to 507 of the family's 1533-position model. The record is from RNAcentral.
GACGAACGCUGGCGGCGUGCUUAACACAUGCAAGUCGAACGGAAAGGCCCUGCUUUUGUUGGGUUCUCGAUUGGCGCACGGGGGAGUAACACGUGAGUAACCUGCCCUUGACUUUGGGAUAACUUCAGGAAACUGGGGCUAAUACCGGAUAGAACCUCCUGCUGCAUGGUGUGCGUUGGAAAGUUUCGGCCGUUGUGGAUGGACUCGCGGCUUAUCAGCUUGUUUGGCGGGUAGGUGCUUACCCAGGCUUUGACGGAUAGCCGGCCUGAGAGGGUGAACGGGCACAUUGGGACUGAGAUACGGACCAGAAUCGUACGUGAGGCAGUAGUGGGGAAUAUUGCAGAACGGGCGGAAGCCUGAUGCAGAAACGCCGCGAUCGGGAUGACGGGUUUCGGGUGGUAAACAGCUUUGGAAUGAGACGAAGAGUGAGUGACGGUACUGGGUAAAGAAGCAACGGCUAACUACGUG